CUAUGCUGAAUCUGAAAAAAAAUCAGUAUAAUAAUAAAUGCAAAAACUUACUAGAAGCUGAAAAACUGUUUAAACCUAUUUUUGAGCCAGUAAAUUUGGAAUCUGUAGAAUUGUCUGUAGCUAAGCUUGGAUGUUCAAAUCAGACAUUAGAGUUUGUUGCUCUAAAUAGUUUAAUUUAUUAUAAUUUUGCCGAACGUCUAGGACUUGACCUAUUUAGUAAAAAGGAUAAAAGCGGUGUUGUGAUUGUACAUCAAAAGUUGAGAGUCACUAUGUGAUGAAAAAUGCUGUAACGAGUACAAAUAUAAGAAGGUUUAUUAGGAACUUUACAAAUAAUACGUUAAUACGUUCCACA
This is a long non-coding RNA of Sitophilus oryzae (rice weevil), 352 nucleotides long. RefSeq lists it as uncharacterized. NCBI's taxonomy places the organism in Eukaryota, Metazoa, Arthropoda, Insecta, Coleoptera, Curculionidae. The record is from RefSeq and is a predicted model, not a curated record. The transcript has 2 exons.